This 165-nucleotide non-coding RNA is filed under the name bovine gut metagenome. The record is from RNAcentral.
GUCGUGAGACGUGGGAGAGAGGAAGCAAUAGCGAAUCCGCGGCCCUACGCACAGGAACCUGAUACAAAGGCGUUUCAAGCGGAUGAGGAGGCACAAGGCGUCAAAGUCCCAAAACGCAAUCGUAACCUUGAGGCGUGGAUCAGGAUGGUAACCGGGGAAAGAUUU